Ribosomal RNA from Cottoperca gobio, 119 nucleotides. The record is from Ensembl. NCBI's taxonomy places the organism in Eukaryota, Metazoa, Chordata, Actinopteri, Perciformes, Bovichtidae.
GAUUACGGCCAUACCACACUGACAACGCCCGAUCUCGUCUGAUCUCGGAAGCUAAGCAUAGUUGGGCUGGGUCAGUACUUGGAUGGGUGAUAGCCUGGGAAUACCCGGUGCUGUAAACA